GAAGAGCGUGUCCUGGUCUCCAAGUGCCCCUCUCUUCCUUAGAAGGUGAACAUGGCAGCCACCUAGGUAGUGGGAAUGCCACGAACCCGAGCGUCACCAGGGCACACGUUGGAGGCUGUUAUCACCCAGGGUGGCUCCACUUUGGAUUACUUCAGGUUGG
This 160-nucleotide long non-coding RNA is filed under the name Ictidomys tridecemlineatus (thirteen-lined ground squirrel). RNAcentral's name for it is "lncRNA (ENSSTOG00000031364.1)". Lineage: Eukaryota; Metazoa; Chordata; Mammalia; Rodentia; Sciuridae. The record is from RNAcentral.